ACUCAUUUUUAUAUUUUUCCGUUAGGCCACAGCCGUUGCAACAUGCCUCCAUACAUUUACAUUUCUGUUAACGAACGCCAUUUCUUAGUGGUUAUCUUAGAAUUAUGUGACACCGUGAAACUUCUAUUCCGAUCGAUUUCGUGUGAUGAACAUUUUCCCAAUAUCAUGUGGCCAUCGGACCGAAACUGAAUGGGAAUUUCCAAACUAAUAGGAUUGGAUAUUUCGUCUCUAAUCACUUUCGACUAGACAUUGCGCUUCAACUGUGCAGAUGAUCGCCAAGAAAUGGCGCGAACUUACCUUCAGAGUUUCUUUGUCAAGUGACCUGAAGUAGCAAGCUACAGUUAGAACCAACAAAACGAGACAGAACCCAAGGACGCUGAACGUGACAAUAAUGUCCACGUCACUAUAAUCAUCGUUUGCCACUCUGAAAAACAAACCAACAACAGAAAAUUUUAUUACACGUCGCUAUGAUCAGCUGUUGUUUACAAACAAAUACACGUGACCAUUGUACAGUGUAUACAUACCUUAUGACAACUCCAAUGGCAAAAGUAAUCAAAAUGAGGAUUUCUAUACAAAUCCACCACAAUAUUUUGUUCUUUGUGAAUACCAUUGUGUGAACCUUUCGCUGUUAUCUUUGGUUUUGUAAGUUGUAAUGUUUGAGCAUGAUUAUAUCACGUUCCAUUUUUAGAUCAGGAAAUCACGUGGUCAAUAUCCGAUAUAUUUAAAUAAAAAAUAGAUGACUAA
This is a long non-coding RNA of Ostrea edulis (European flat oyster), 744 nucleotides long. RefSeq lists it as uncharacterized. The record is from RefSeq and is a predicted model, not a curated record. NCBI's taxonomy places the organism in Eukaryota, Metazoa, Mollusca, Bivalvia, Ostreida, Ostreidae. The transcript is spliced from 3 exons.